RNAcentral lists this microRNA precursor (83 nucleotides) under Paramuricea clavata. The record is from RNAcentral. Lineage: Eukaryota; Metazoa; Cnidaria; Anthozoa; Malacalcyonacea; Plexauridae.
CAAUGCUCUUCCAACUGAGCUACGCGGUCAGGACGGUUCGAGCAAGUGAUAUUACCGCGUAGCUCAGUUGGAAGAGCAUUGGC